CGGCAACAGCUCAAAUUUGAAAGCUGGCCCUUUUAGGGUCCGCAUUGUAAUUUGUAGAGGAUGAUUCGGCGAGGGCUCCUGCCUAAGUCCCCUGGAACGGGGCGUCAUAGAGGGUGAGAAUCCCGUAUGCGGUAGGUUGCCUUAGCCAUGUGAAUCUCCUUCGACGAGUCGAGUUGUUUGGGAAUGCAGCUCUAAAUGGGAGGUAAAUUUCUUCUAAAGCUAAAUACCGGCCAGAGACCGAUAGCGCACAAGUAGAGUGAUCGAAAGAUGAAAAGCACUUUGGAAAGAGAGUUAAAAAGUACGUGAAAUUGUUGAAAGGGAAGCGCUUGCAACCAGACUUGUCCGCAGUUGCUCAGCCGGUCUCCUGACCGGCGUACUCUUCUGCGGCCAGGCCAGCAUCAGUUCGGGCGGUCGGAUAAAGGCCUCGGGAAUGUGGCUCCUCUCGGGGAGUGUUAUAGCCCGGGGUGCAAUGCGGCCAGCCUGGACUGAGGAACUCGCUUCGGCAAGGAUGCUGGCGUAAUGGUUGUAAGCGGCCCGUCUUGAACACGCC
RNAcentral lists this ribosomal RNA (550 nucleotides) under Lasiodiplodia theobromae. Its description in RNAcentral is "partial large subunit ribosomal RNA". It matches the Rfam family "Eukaryotic large subunit ribosomal RNA", at positions 99 to 664 of the family's 3401-position model. Lineage: Eukaryota; Fungi; Ascomycota; Dothideomycetes; Botryosphaeriales; Botryosphaeriaceae. The record is from RNAcentral.